GUGCUUUCUUUGAUAGCACAUAUACUAAAAUUGGAAUGAUACAGAGAUUAGCAUGGCCUCUGCUCAAGGAUGACAUGGAAAUUCAUGGAGCUUUCCAUAUUUUU
Molecule: small nuclear RNA, 104 nt
Organism: Gracilinanus agilis (Agile Gracile Mouse Opossum)
Lineage: Eukaryota; Metazoa; Chordata; Mammalia; Didelphimorphia; Didelphidae
Source: RefSeq, a predicted model, not a curated record